CGAGCCGCGCGUGCUUGUUCAAAACCCGAUUGCGGGAGCACCGGGUGAGGACGUACUUCUCGUCGUAGGUCGGCGGGGGGAGCUUGUCGAGCCACUCCUGCGCGAUGUGGACCUCGCACUCGGCGGAGCAGGCCUCGAUGUCGUCCAACCGGUGAGAGUCUGGAUCGAUCAGCCCCGUGUUGGCCAGUGCACGGAGGAGAGUUUGGCCGGUGAGGCCGACGACUUCGCGCUUGACGCCGUCGAGAUCGAUGGCGGAGAGCUUCACGAUGCGGUCGGAGACCUUGGCGGAGGUGGAAGUGGUGGAGGAGCGGAGGAUGGAUUUGGAUAGGGAGGGGGUUGGACUGGGGAGGUGGCGGAGGAGGCGACGGAGGAUCGCGAUCGCCAUGGCUAGGGUUUCGAGAUCGUGAGCUCGAGAUUUGAGCUAGG
This 426-nucleotide unclassified non-coding RNA is filed under the name Hevea brasiliensis (rubber tree). The record is from RNAcentral. Lineage: Eukaryota; Viridiplantae; Streptophyta; Magnoliopsida; Malpighiales; Euphorbiaceae.